This 1907-nucleotide long non-coding RNA is filed under the name Capra hircus (goat). RNAcentral describes it as "lncRNA (ENSCHIG00010029114.1)". The record is from RNAcentral. Lineage: Eukaryota; Metazoa; Chordata; Mammalia; Artiodactyla; Bovidae.
CACAGGGCCACCUGCUCCCUCCUGGACGUCGUGGAUCUGUGGAAGUGCCCUGAUCUCCAUCCUCACUCCCCUGGGGAGUCUGAACCUGGCGGUUUGACCCAAAGGGCCCAGAGGCCCGAGUGUCCCAGCAGGUCACUGGCCAGCGGCCAUCCGAUGAGCUCCAGGCCCCCAAACCUGCUUGAGUGAGAGGGUUCUCAUCAAGGCCACGGGGCUGACCGGGUUGGGGCCAUGGACUCCCUGUGAGAUGAUGCAGCCAGGGGUCCCCACGGCUGCCACCGCCCCCGGGGAGCCACCCCAGGAGGCACUCGUCUCAGAAGCUGUCCAGCCUGCUAGCCAGCCCUGCUUCUGUGAGCACCAUGGAGAUGCCAGCCAGGAAGCAGCAGGGCCACCCGUCCCAGGAGAGCUGGACAGGGCUUCCGAGCCGGCAGUGGGUGGCCCCGGGCCGGAGCACAGGAGGGCCCCGGCCGGCUCUGCGCAGAGACAAACGGUGAGUGCCCCCGUAUCGACGUUUCCCAUAAUGAUGACCGUAUUUUCCCCAUCGGUNNNNNNNNNNNNNNNNGGCAUUUGAGUAAUCGAAGAUUAAUUUUAAUUAAGUCUUAGAAGUUUUGUGACUGUGCCUGACAGAGGAUGCCUGUCCAUGGCUGCAGAGGGGACGGCAGGAGCCUGCCCGGGAAGGGGGCAUCCGUGGGCCCUGGCCUCCCCGGGGCCUGCCGUGUCCUCUGCCCUGGUCUGCAGAACGAGCCUGGGAAAGAGCCUGGAGGUGGGUCGUGGCCGGUGCCGGGGCCUCCCCUUCCGGCGCAAGCCCUCGACUGUGAAAGAAGGUGAUAACGCCCCUGCUCCGUGUCCCAGGCCCACCCUGCAAGAACGGACGCCCUUACUUCUCCGCAUAACCUUGUGGGAUCGCCCUGAAAAGGAACUCCAGCCUCCUUCUUCCCAGACCUCCUUUUCUGGGUUUGCCAUGGUCCGCAGGGUGGGCCAGCCAGGCCGCAGACCACGCCCACAGCUGCUGACCUCAGGACACAGACCCCUCACCUGGGUCGCCUGCCGGGUCCCACCCACCCUCCAGAGCGUCUCACGUCAAGGCCAGGAGCCGGGGACCCUGCACAGGGCUCCACACCAGCCCCUCAGGGCAGCGCCCCCCAACCCCGGGGACUCCAGGUGCCUCCCACCACCCACUAGCCCACUGACAGUUUCAAUGCCUCAGAGGCGGGAAGGUCAUUAGCAGAAAUGAAUUAUGAAUGAGGAGGCCUCGUUAGAGAGACCAGUGAAUCAGCUCUCUCACCCUGAGUCCCUAAGCACGAACAGGGAAGCUCUCAGGGGGAGGAUCUGCCAGGCUGCAAGGUGGGGGGGGGGCCCUGGGCACCGAGGACCCCACGGGUGUCUGAGCCCCGGGGCAGAGCCCCAGGACUGUCCACUUCAGGGCCAUGGGGACCCCAGUGCCGCCGACUGGCUGACACAGGUCCUACCUGCUGAGACUGUGCAGCUGGCCGUGGACCACAUCUCCCCACCCCAGACCCUGACCCCAGCCUGGGAGCAAUCCCCCCGCAAGACUGACCCCCAGCCAGGGAGCCAAACAAGUCUCAGAGUUGCCAACACCUCCGGACAGAACCACGACAGGCUAACGAUGGGGCGCUGGCCAGAGGUCGUUCAGAGCAGUGACCCUGGGCCAGAGGUCAGGAGAGUCUGGACCUGAGAGCUUGGGCUGUGGACAGGACAUGGGUGGGGCAGCGGCCAGGGGCCAAGCUCCUGCCUUCGGGCCUUGGGCAGCCCCAACCCUCUCAGGGCCUCAGUUUGCCUGUCCAGGGAGCCCUUGGGACAAGGCUGACAGACCAACAGGUUGGAAAGACCGAGAGCCUUCAGAGCCUGCAGCAAGCAUGGUUGACUUAAUUCCUGGUGAGGGUUUUCGC